This is a small nucleolar RNA of Ornithorhynchus anatinus (platypus), 138 nucleotides long. NCBI's taxonomy places the organism in Eukaryota, Metazoa, Chordata, Mammalia, Monotremata, Ornithorhynchidae. The record is from RefSeq and is a predicted model, not a curated record.
CCCCUCUCAGGAUCACACCUGGAGAGUUUCCAGUACUUUACCAGUUUUAGCUACAGGAGGGAGGGUCAAGCAUAGGCAUAUCCAUUCUAUUCCUAGCUUGGGCAGUGGCUAGCCAGUAGAAGGCAAUAUGCUACAAGU